AGUAUUAUAGUUUAUAAAAAAUUUUAAAUUGCAAAUUUAAAGAAAAAUUAUUAUUUUAAUACUU
RNAcentral lists this transfer RNA (64 nucleotides) under Hyphydrus ovatus. Its description in RNAcentral is "tRNA-Cys". Lineage: Eukaryota; Metazoa; Arthropoda; Insecta; Coleoptera; Dytiscidae. The record is from RNAcentral.